GACGAACGCUGGCGGCGUGCUUAACACAUGCAAGUCGAACGGAAAGGCCCUGCUUUUGUGGGGUGCUCGAGUGGCGAACGGGUGAGUAACACUUGAGUAACCUGCCCUUGACUUUGGGAUAACUUCAGGAAACUGGGGCUAAUACCGUAUAGGAUCUCCUGCUGCAUGUUGGUGGUUGGUAAGUUUCGGCGGUUGGGUAUGGACUCGCGGCUUAUCAGCUUGUUGGUGGGGUAGUGGCUUACCAAGGCUUUGACGGGUAGCCGGCCUGAGAGGGUGACCGCCAACAUUGGGACUGAGAUACGGCACAGACUGCAACGGGAGGCAGCAGUGGGGAAUAUUGCACAAUGGGAGGAAGCGUGAUGAAGCAACGCAGCGUGCGGGAUGAAGGGCUUCGGGUUGUAAAACGAUGUAGCAUGUGACGAAGAGUGAGUGACGGUAAUGGGUAAAGAAGCACCGGCUAACUACGUG
This 468-nucleotide ribosomal RNA is filed under the name uncultured bacterium. RNAcentral describes it as "partial 16S ribosomal RNA". It matches the Rfam family "Bacterial small subunit ribosomal RNA", at positions 28 to 507 of the family's 1533-position model. The record is from RNAcentral.